RNAcentral lists this ribosomal RNA (254 nucleotides) under uncultured bacterium. Its description in RNAcentral is "partial 16S ribosomal RNA". It matches the Rfam family "Bacterial small subunit ribosomal RNA", at positions 524 to 776 of the family's 1533-position model. The record is from RNAcentral.
UACGGGGGGAGCAAGCGUUGUUCGGAUUUACUGGGCGUAAAGGGCGCGUAGGCGGCCAGCACAAGUCAGUUGUGAAAUCUCCGAGCUUAACUCGGAACGGUCAACUGAUACUGUGCGGCUAGAGUGCGGAAGGGGCAACUGGAAUUCUUGGUGUAGCGGUGAAAUGCGUAGAUAUCAAGAGGAACACCUGCGGCGAAGGCGGGUUGCUGGGCCGACACUGACGCUGAGGCGCGAAAGCUAGGGGAGCGAACGGG